RNAcentral lists this ribosomal RNA (204 nucleotides) under uncultured euryarchaeote. RNAcentral's name for it is "partial 16S ribosomal RNA". It matches the Rfam family "Archaeal small subunit ribosomal RNA", at positions 340 to 538 of the family's 1478-position model. The record is from RNAcentral. Lineage: Archaea; Methanobacteriati; Methanobacteriota.
CGCGAAAACCUUUACAAUGCACGAAAAGUAGUGAUAAAGGGCAACUCCUUGUGCUUAUCCAAAAGAUAGGCUUUUUAGUAUGUAAUGUAUACUAAGAAUAAAGUGAGUGGGCCAAGACCGGUGCCAGCAGCCGCGGUAAUACCGGCGUCACAAGUGGAGAUCACGAUUACUGGGUCUAAAGUGUUCGUAGCUGGUCAUAUAAGU